AUGAUGAUUGUCCUGACAUUCUCUGUUGGGAUCUCACACCUGAUGGCAAAUGCAAUUCAAAAGGUGCAUAUAAGCUUUGUUUGCAGGACAUACAAAAUCAGCCAAACAAUCGUCCCGCACAGGUUUGUUCUUUUGUUAAGGACAUGCAUAAGCAGGUGUGGAAGACAAAACAGCUGUCCCCCAAGGGUCCAAACCAUUGCAUGGAGGCUCCUUUGCAAAGCCCUUUCCACAGGUAUGCGAGCUGGUAGGUUCUCUCAGCACAUUGCCACUAAUUGCUGUUGGUGUGACCAACAGGAGGAUGAUAUGCAUAUAUUUGUUAGCUGCCCUUUUGCCAGGGCUGCUUGGUUUGGUCAUUCUUGGUAG
Molecule: ribosomal RNA, 363 nt
Filed under: Triticum aestivum (bread wheat)
Lineage: Eukaryota; Viridiplantae; Streptophyta; Magnoliopsida; Poales; Poaceae
Description: partial small subunit ribosomal RNA
Source: RNAcentral